This 497-nucleotide ribosomal RNA is filed under the name uncultured bacterium. RNAcentral's name for it is "partial 16S ribosomal RNA". It matches the Rfam family "Bacterial small subunit ribosomal RNA", at positions 28 to 507 of the family's 1533-position model. The record is from RNAcentral.
GAUGAACGCUGGCGGCGUGCCUAAUACAUGCAAGUCGAGCGAACGGACGAGGAGCUUGCUUCUCUGACGUUAGCGGCGGACGGGAGAGUAACACGUGGAUAACCUACCUAUAAGACUGGGAUAACUUCGGGAAACCGGAGCUUAUACCGGAUAAUAUUUUGAACCGCAUGGUUCAAAAGUGAAAGACGGUCUUGCUGUCACUUAUAGAUGGAUCCGGGCUGCAUUAGCUAGUUGGUAAGGUAACGGCUUAUCAAGGCAACGAGGCAUAGCCGACCUGAGAGGGGGAUCGGCCACACGGGAACUGAGACACGGUCCAGACUCCUACGGGAGGGAGCAGUAGGGAAUCUUCCGCAAUGGGCGAAAGCCUGACGGAGCAACGCCGCGUGAGUGAUGAAGGUCUUCGGAGCGUAAAACUCUGUUAUUAGGGAAGAACAUAUGUGUAAGUAACUGUGCACAUCUUGACGGUACCUAAUCAGAAAGCCACGGCUAACUACGUG